This 1039-nucleotide ribosomal RNA is filed under the name marine bacterium HC-23. Its description in RNAcentral is "bacterial SSU rRNA". It matches the Rfam family "Bacterial small subunit ribosomal RNA", at positions 43 to 1079 of the family's 1533-position model. The record is from RNAcentral.
GGGGCGGCUAACGUGCAGUCGAGGGGUAACGGGGAGAAGCUUGCACUUUGCCGACGACCGGCGCACGGGUGCGGAACGCGUAUGGAACCUGCCCCUGUCAGGGGAAUAGCCCAGAGAAAUUUGGAUUAAUGCCCCAUGGUAUCCCACCACCGCAUGGUGGAGGGAUUAAAGAUUUAUCGGACAGGGAUGGCCAUGCGUACCAUUAGCUUGUUGGUAAGGUAACGGCUUACCAAGGCAACGAUGGUUAGGGGCCCUGAGAGGGGGAUCCCCCACACUGGUACUGAGACACGGACCAGACUCCUACGGGAGGCAGCAGUGAGGAAUAUUGGACAAUGGUCGGGAGACUGAUCCAGCCAUGCCGCGUGCAGGAUGACUGCCCUAUGGGUUGUAAACUGCUUUUAUACGGGAAGAAACGCACCUACGUGUAGGUGUCUGACGGUACCGUAAGAAUAAGGACCGGCUAACUCCGUGCCAGCAGCCGCGGUAAUACGGAGGGUCCGAGCGUUAUCCGGGAAUCAUUGGGUUUAAAGGGUCCGUAGGCGGGCCGUUAAGUCAGGGGUGAAAGUCUGCGGCUCAACCGUAGAAUUGCCUUUGAUACUGGCGGUCUUGAGUCGUUGUGGAGUUGCCGGAACAUGUGGUGUAGCGGUGAAAUGCAUAGAUAUCACAUAGAACACCGAUCGCGAAGGCAGGUGACUAACAACGUACUGACGCUGAUGGACGAAAGCGUGGGUAGCGAACGGGAUUAGAUACCCCGGUAGUCCACGCCGUAAACGAUGGAUACUAGCUGUCGGGCCUUCGGGCUCGGCGGCCAAGCGAAAGUGAUAAGUAUCCCACCUGGGGAGUACGUUCGCAAGAAUGAAACUCAAAGGAAUUGACGGGGGCCCGCACAAGCGGUGGAGCAUGUGGUUUAAUUCGAUGAUACGCGAGGAACCUUACCAGGGCUUAAAUGUAGUGGGACAGGCUUAGAGGAUAGGCUUUUCUUCGGACUCAUUACAAGGUGCUGCAUGGUUGUCGUCAGCUCGUGCCGUGAGGUGUCAGG